UCCAGGAGAGAACCGGCCGGUGCGGAAGGGGCUUAUUCCCGCUUGCAGGCUGGACGCCGAAGGGGCAGAAACUCUCAGGCAAAAGGACUGGGGUC
This 95-nucleotide non-coding RNA is filed under the name chicken gut metagenome. RNAcentral describes it as "Glycine riboswitch". It matches the Rfam family "Glycine riboswitch aptamer", at positions 9 to 86 of the family's 94-position model. Rfam says of the family: This family represents the bacterial glycine riboswitch. The record is from RNAcentral.